AUUGAACGCUGGCGGCAUGCUUUACACAUGCAAGUCGAACGGCAGCGCGGGCUUCGGCCUGGCGGCGAGUGGCGAACGGGUGAGUAAUGCAUCGGAACGUGCCCAGUAGUGGGGGAUAGCCCGGCGAAAGCCGGAUUAAUACCGCAUACGACCUGAGGGUGAAAGCGGGGGACCGAAAGGCCUCGCGCUAUUGGAGCGGCCGAUGUCGGAUUAGCUAGUUGGUGGGGUAAAGGCUUACCAAGGCGACGAUCCGUAGCUGGUCUGAGAGGACGACCAGCCACACUGGGACUGAGACACGGCCCAGACUCCUACGGGAGGAAGCAGUGGGGAAUUUUGGACAAUGGGGGCAACCCUGAUCCAGCCAUGCCGCGUGCGGGAAGAAGGCCUUCGGGUGGUAAACCGCUUUUGUUCGGGAAGAAAUCCUCUGGGCUAAUACCCCGGGGGGAUGACGGUACCGGAAGAAUAAGCACCGGCUAACUACGU
RNAcentral lists this ribosomal RNA (483 nucleotides) under uncultured bacterium. RNAcentral's name for it is "partial 16S ribosomal RNA". It matches the Rfam family "Bacterial small subunit ribosomal RNA", at positions 29 to 506 of the family's 1533-position model. The record is from RNAcentral.